ACAACCAGGAUGUUGGCUUAGAAGCAGCCACCAUUGAAAGAGUGCGUAAUAGCUCACUGGUCGAGUGACCCCGCGCCGAAAAUGUACCGGGGCUAAACAUAUUACCGAAACUGUGGAUGAACCUCUUCGGAGGUUCGUGGUAGGAGAGCGUUCUAAGGGCGGUGAAGUCAGACCGGAAGGACUGGUGGAGCGCUUAGAAGUGAGAAUGCCGGUAUGAGUAGCGAAAGAAGGGUGAGAAUCCCUUCCACCGAAUAUCUAAGGUUUCCUGAGGAAGGCUCGUCCGCUCAGGGUUAGUCGGGACCUAAGCUGAGGCCGAUAGGCGUAGGCGAUGGACAACAGGUAGAUAUUCCUGUACCAGUGCGAGUUGUUUGAGCAAUGGGGUGACACAGAAGGAUAGGGAAUCGCACAGAUGGAAACGUGCGUCCAAGCAGUGAGUGUGAGAAGUAGGCAAAUCCGCUUCUCGCGAAGCAUGAGCUGUGAUGGGGAAGGAAAUUUAGUACGGAAGUUCCUGAUUUCACGCUGUCAAGAAAAGCCUCUAGUUAGACUCGUACUGCCCGUACCGCAAACCGACACAGGUAGAUGAGGAGAGAAUCCUAAGGUGAGCGAGAGAACUCUCGUUAAGGAACUCGGCAAAAUGACCCCGUAACUUCGGGAGAAGGGGUGCUCUAUUAGGG
Molecule: ribosomal RNA, 674 nt
Filed under: Listeria booriae
Lineage: Bacteria; Bacillati; Bacillota; Bacilli; Caryophanales; Listeriaceae
Description: partial 23S ribosomal RNA
Rfam family: Bacterial large subunit ribosomal RNA
Source: RNAcentral